GCGCAGGUAUAGAGCACCCCUCAGCAGGAAAAACAGAACUAGACAACCAUUUGUGCCAGGUGUGAUAUCCCUCCUAAAUAGCUCGGGCGAAUGUUCCUAUCGACUGACAAAGGCAGUAAGUGUUUCCUUUAUUUUGGCAGUGACCUGUAUAUUCUUAUUCAUUAUGAUCUAAAAUGGGAAACUGAUCCUAGAUCAGCACUCCUACUCUGAGAUGCUUUGUGAAUACAGGCCUGGGGUUGUGAUUUGCAUUGUGAUAUCGUGUCAUUCAACCCACAGCUUAAGGCGGCCACAACCCUGGAGGCUGCUAGUGAGGUCAUGGAGGAGGAGUCUUUAAUUCUGCGUCCGCUGGGGGUCCUCAGCCCUGUCCAAACAUGGGAGGACAGGGAAGACAUUGUGCGGUUUGCUGCGAGGGGCUAUUUGGAUGUUUGGUUGUCAUGUGGACCAUUAAGUAUGUUUUGUACAAUAACUGCUGAGUUGGGCCUAGUCACUUUUGGCACUGCUGUGAGAUAAAACCCUUUACAGUAAUUACUUUUAUGAGCUCAGUCUCUUGUGUCCCUCACUCUGUGUUGUCCUUUUUGUUGUUUAAACCAAAUGAAAGGAGGACUGGCUACAUUGGGCUUGCUAGAGGCAUCCUGCUGUAUUCAAGCAGAUAUUACUAGCCAGACCUCUCUCUGCAGUAGACCUCACGCUCUUCCACGUGAACUUCUCAGCCCCCGGUAGUGAUGAGAGAAUAGCUGAGAACAUAACGUAUGGCUACUGGAGGGACUGGCUUAUUGGGGUGGAGUGGAUGUGAGUCUCUGACCGUCAAGAAGCUUCUAGUCUUCGUGUCUGGCCGGGGGACACACUGAGCUUCCCCACACAGCCCACUAUGGAGUUCCCGCACACUCGGGGAGGGGGGGCGACGACACACAUACUCCAGACGUAGAGGAGUCCAGGACCUCAGGCAUACUCCAGACGUAGAGGAGUCCAGGACCUCAGGCAUACUCCAGACAUAGAGGCGACCACGACCUCAAGCAUACUCCAGACGUAGAGGCGUCCAGGACCUCAAGCAUACUCCAGACGUAGAGGCGUCCAGGACCUCAGGGAUACUCCAGACGUAGAGGCGUCCAGGACCUCAGGCAUACUCCAGACGUAGAGGCGUCCAGGACCUCAGGCAUAUUCCCGACGUAGAGGCGUCCAGGACCUCAGGCAUAUUCCCGACGUAGAGGCGUCCAGGACCUCAGGCAUAUUCCCAACGUAGAGGCGUCCAGGACCUCAGGCAUACUCCAGACGUAGAGGAGUCCAGGACCUCAGAAAGUACUCCAGACACUCAUGCUGGCUUGAGAAGCCUCAGUGGAGAAACCAGGUAGACUAAGACAGUGAGCAGGUCAAUGCCUCAGACAUCUAAGAACAAGACAGCUGUUUGGUCCUUGCAACAUGUGUCCCUCCAGUUAAAGAUCAGGUGUCAGUCUGACUGUUUCUUUAUUAUCUCUGCAUUAUCUCUGGGCAGUCCCAGGUUCACUAUCUACAGUAUGUGAAGUUUAUCCAGGGUGGUCCUCCUGAGAAACAAACUACAGACACAAAACAAGAUGCUGUCACCUUCACCCUGACUGGGGGUUCCGUUCUGGAACACUUUGUUGUUGACACAUCUGACGUGCUAAAGUUCUGUAGAUAAUAGCCCCUGGGCCAGAGGGCCAAAGAGGGAUCCACAUGUUUCAGCUUAUUGAUUACUGUUUUGGUGACUAACUUUUAUUCAUGGCUGUGAUUACUACAUUUGUUAUAGUCCCUGUCUUUUAUUCAUGGCUGUCAGAGGUAGUCAGUGGCUUUUCCAUGUCACUUACGUAAUUCUGAUUAUGUAAAUAGUUAAGCAACGAUGGUGGAAACAUCACCAUAUCACCCACAUUAAACCAGAACACAGACCUCCAAAUAAAUGAACUUGAAGUCAUUUGUAUUUAUUGAAUGAAUUGGAGCUCUUUAUUACAUCAUGUUAAUGCCUACGUGUUCAGGCGCCUGAAGCAGGAGGGAACAAACACUUGGUUUGACACAGUUGCAUACAUUUUAUAUCAUCUUCAAAUUCACUUCUAAUUCUAUCUACAAUAACUGAAGUCCUAUAGUUUUGUGUUUUCAUAGAAACAGUCAAAUUUCACAACUGUACAAGCUGAGAUUGCUACAUACAUUUGACUUUCCAAUGAAUGAUGCUAUUGAUUCUUGACAAAUCUAACUUAUACACUGAGUGUAUAAAACAUUAUACACACCUGCCUCUGUCCAUGACUGACUGACCAGGUGAAUUCAGAUGAAAGUGCAACUCAAUAUAAGGUAAUAUAAGGUCGUUCUUAAUGUUUUGUACACAGUAUAAAUGCCUCAUGAACUUCAACUGUAGAUUCCCAUCUGAACUGAAAAUAUAACCUUUUUAUAAUCUGUUGUUUGUAAAUAAUAUAAUUGUUUUAAAAAACACUUAUAGCUUCAAAACAUGACUAUAAUGUUGAUCUCAACGAUGUUCGGUCCUUGCAUCCAUAGCUAUAUCUCUUCUUUUGAGAGUGGUUCCAUUUAUUUAGCCCCGUCCCUCAGCUUUUUACCAAAUCAGCGACGGGGCAAAAACUUUUGUUUGAAAUGCGGAUUGCUCCAUUAAUCCACCAUAAAGCUGCAGACAAACAUAUAUUACAUGUCCGUGCCCAUACCCACAAUACCAUAAUCCAAUCAGACUGCAUUUUAGGUAACACACUUACAAAUAGGAUCAAAGGAGCAUACCAAAUUAUACAGAAAUAGCCAGUGAUAUCCCAGUGCCAUGCACAUCAAAAUAGUCUGACUACUGUAUAGCCUAACUACAAUUCAAUCAGGUAUUAUGACCAAUGUGCCUCUAGUACAGUGUCUGUCUCCAUGAUAUCUGACUCUAGUCUCAUGUUACACCAGAGAAUCUGGCUGGUAAUAUGACUGAACAAAGAGAGAACAUGGCCCACAAUAUAUAAAGCACUUCAGAGCUGCAAUAUACUAGGCUACAUGCAGGCCAUUCUUUAUUCUGAGAAUGGCUUUAAUGCUCAAAAUGACCAGAGAGCACAGUAGCACUGACCAUGGCAUGAGGGAGUUCAUUGGAGACUACCCCGACGGUCGGUUGAGGUCAAAGUCCCCUUUCACACUGUCGGCGCCACUGAAGCAGUCAAGGAGCGUCGGAAAGCCUGAGCAAACGGAUAAUGGAUUGGUCUGUGUUCAUUUUCCCAUUAUGUUGAAAAGCCCCUAGUAUCCUCGUGUGCUGUUAUGGUUUUACCAAGGGUUUUCAGAAAACUACAACCGAGAACCUUUCUAUGUUUAAAAAGGGCCCUAGCAGAAUAAUUAUAUUCCAUACAUUUAAUGAUAGAUGUGCUGGAAUGUAAUGUACUGAAUUGGAUAAUCCAUUCAUGGACUCUCAUGUUUGUUUACAACGUCCCCUAAGAAGCAUAUUUGUAUGUUCUCAUUAUUGAAAUACCCUGGCUAAUUAGAUCAAUAAAAGAAACAAUAUUGUGAUAAUUAUUUAAGUGUGGUAGUAGAGUCAACAGCAACAAAAAAAAAAAGAGUCCAUCA
Molecule: long non-coding RNA, 3534 nt
Organism: Oncorhynchus tshawytscha (Chinook salmon)
Lineage: Eukaryota; Metazoa; Chordata; Actinopteri; Salmoniformes; Salmonidae
Exons: 2
Source: RefSeq, a predicted model, not a curated record